UUUUGGGAUCUCUCUUCACUUACUUGUAAAGGCUGCCUUUUAUGACUUUACAUAGGGGAUCUAAUUUAAUCUCAAUAAAAUUAGAAGAUUUUAUUGAAAUUGAUAGCUAGAGUUCAUUCAUGUGUUUCUUCAUAGUGUAUUAAUUGUUAAAGUUUGGCUAAUCAGUACAAGCAUUUAUGAGUUAUAAAUAAUUGGCUCAUCA
This is a long non-coding RNA of Impatiens glandulifera, 202 nucleotides long. RefSeq lists it as uncharacterized. The record is from RefSeq and is a predicted model, not a curated record. The transcript is spliced from 2 exons. Lineage: Eukaryota; Viridiplantae; Streptophyta; Magnoliopsida; Ericales; Balsaminaceae.